GUCGGCUUUGGCGACUUGGUGCCGACAAGUCCCCAAGGGAAGGUGGUUGGGUCCUGUUGCGCUUUGAUUGGUGUCCUCACUCUUGCUCUCCCAGUACCAAUCAUUGUAAGUAAA
Molecule: non-coding RNA, 114 nt
Organism: Bursaphelenchus xylophilus (pine wood nematode)
Lineage: Eukaryota; Metazoa; Nematoda; Chromadorea; Rhabditida; Aphelenchoididae
Source: Rfam